AUUGAACGCUGGCGGCAGGCCUAACACAUGCAAGUCGAACGGUAACAGGAAGAAGCUUGCUUCUUUGCUGACGAGUGGCGGACGGGUGAGUAGUGUCUGGGAAACUGCCUGAUGGAGGGGGAUAACUACUGGAAACGGUAGCUAAUACCGCAUAACGUCGCAAGACCAAAGAGGGGGACCUUCGGGCCUCUUGCCAUCGGAUGUGCCCAGAUGGGAUUAGCUAGUAGGUGGGGUAACGGCUCACCUAGGCGACGAUCCCUAGCUGGUCUGAGAGGAUGACCAGCCACACUGGAACUGAGACACGGUCCAGACUCCUACGGGAGGCAGCAGUGGGGAAUAUUGCACAAUGGGCGCAAGCCUGAUGCAGCCAUGCCGCGUGUAUGAAGAAGGCCUUCGGGUUGUAAAGUACUUUCAGCGGGGAGGAAGGGAGUAAAGUUAAUACCUUUACUCAUUGACGUUACCCGCAGAAGAAGCACCGGCUAACUCCGUG
This 490-nucleotide ribosomal RNA is filed under the name uncultured bacterium. RNAcentral's name for it is "partial 16S ribosomal RNA". It matches the Rfam family "Bacterial small subunit ribosomal RNA", at positions 30 to 507 of the family's 1533-position model. The record is from RNAcentral.